Molecule: ribosomal RNA, 468 nt
Filed under: uncultured bacterium
Lineage: Bacteria
Description: partial 16S ribosomal RNA
Rfam family: Bacterial small subunit ribosomal RNA
Source: RNAcentral
GACGAACGCUGGCGGCGUGCUGAACACAUGCAAGUCGAACGGAAAGGCCCUGCUUUUGUGGGGUGCUCGAGUGGCGAACGGGUGAGUAACACGUGAGUAACCUGCCCUUGACUUUGGGAUAACUUCAGGAAACUGGGGCUAAUACCGGAUAGGAGCUCCUGCUGCAUGGUGGGGGUUGGAAAGUUUCGGCGGUUGGGGAUGGACUCGCGGCUUAUCAGCUUGUUGGUGGGGUAGUGGCUUACCAAGGCUUUGACGGGUAGCCGGACUGAGAGGGUGACCGGCCACAUUGGGACUGAGAUCCGGCCCAGACUCCUACGGGAGGCAGUAGUGGGGAAUAUUGCACACUGGGCGGAAGCCUGAUGCAGCAACGCCGCGUGCGGGAUGACGGCCUUCGGGUUGUAACCCGCUUUCGCCUGUGACGAAGCGUGAGUGACGGUAAUGGGUAAAGAAGCACCGGCUAACUCCGUG